UUGUGGAACAAGGGACCAUAAAGGUGCAGGU
Molecule: non-coding RNA, 31 nt
Filed under: Homo sapiens (human)
Lineage: Eukaryota; Metazoa; Chordata; Mammalia; Primates; Hominidae
Source: RNAcentral